GUACUAUUCCCUCCGUCCGGAAAUACUUGUCGAAGAAAUAAAUACAAAUAAAUGUAUCUAGAAUUAGAAUACAUAUAGAUACAUCCAUUCCUCGGACAAGUAAUUCCGGACGGAGGAGUACUAG
Triticum aestivum (bread wheat) is the source of this 124-nucleotide non-coding RNA. The record is from Rfam. NCBI's taxonomy places the organism in Eukaryota, Viridiplantae, Streptophyta, Magnoliopsida, Poales, Poaceae.